Molecule: long non-coding RNA, 1800 nt
Organism: Antechinus flavipes (yellow-footed antechinus)
Lineage: Eukaryota; Metazoa; Chordata; Mammalia; Dasyuromorphia; Dasyuridae
Exons: 2
Source: RefSeq, a predicted model, not a curated record
UCUAAUCAUAAUGAGUACUUUUUGCACAAAAUCUAUGUAAUAUCUAUGGCAUUCCUCUAGUCUACUAGUUUAGUAAAUGUAUGCAGAAAAGGAAAAGUUUCCUUUGUUUGACAAAGCCAUAUUGGUUCUUUAUGAUGAUCUGUUUCUUUAGAUAUUCAUGGUCAGAAUGGACUGUGAAGAGUGACUGUGAACAAUGAGCAGAUAAAUCAAAAUUAAAAAUCAAAAAGCUUGAUCUUGUGACACAUAGGAAUCAUGUUACUGGAAAUCCUUUGGGCACCUAUCUUGACUUCCAAGAGAAGAUGCUAUGUGCUCUCUAUCACAGUCUGGCUAUCUACAUUUUCCCACUGGAUUCUAAGUUUUCCUGGAUAUGUGAAGUGCCUUAUGGCCACAAUUUGGAAAGCGGUCCCUGUGGAGAAGGAAGGUGUUAGUCAUUCCUACCAAAAGCCAGCUUAACUGAAGCAGCAGGGCACUCUGAGAACAAAACAGAAAGUGGCAUGUGCUAGAAAAGUUAAACUAUCACUUUGGCCACUUUCUUAGGCUGUAGUGAAGACAGUUCAGAGCCCUGAAUCCAAGGGCCUUGGGAAUAGCAGUGCUGUUGGAUGGAACAGUCAUCAUCCUGGGAAAUGAUCUCUUUGCAGAUAGAUCUUAGACUUGUUUAUACUGGUGGUGACAGAGUUACUGAAAACCCAAAGAGAGAGAUCUUACCAAUGGAAUCUUUGACAGUGUUAAAUGGCUCAGCGUCAGAAAUUGAUAAAAUUUAAUUGGUGAAAAUAUUAAAGAUUUUACUUUUCUACAAGUUGUUGCAACAUAAAGACUAAGGGAUAUUUUUGUUUGUUUGUUUUUUGGUUUAGGCAAUUGGGGCUAAGUGAAUUGCUCAGGAUCACACAGCUAAGAAGUGGUAUCUGAGGCCAGAUUUGAACUCGGGUCCUUCUGACUUCAAGACUGGUGUUCUAUCUACUGUGCCAUUUAGCUGCCUCCCCCCAAAGCAAAACAAAACAAAGACUAAGGGAUGUUUCUGUCUUGCAGCAGAAACAUCUUAUUUUUGCAUUUAAAUAGUAUUUUUCCCCAUUACAUAUAGUUUUCAACAUUCAUUUUUGUAAGAUCUUGAGUUCCAGAUUUUUUCCCUCUCAAACAUAGCAAGCAAUCUGAUAGAAGUUAUCCACCUACAAUUAUGUUAAACACAUUUCCAUAUUAGUCUUGUGAAUCAGAAAAAGGAAAAAUUACAAGAAAGGAAAAAAAAAUUAAUAAGUGAAAAUAGUAUAUUUUGAUCUACUUUCAGACUCCACAAUUCUUUCUCUUCAUGUGGAUGGUAUUUUCCAUCACAAAUCUUUUGGAAUUGUCUUGGAUCAAUGUAUUGCUGAGAAGAGCUAAGUCUAUCAUAAUUGGUUAUCGAAAAAUUGCUGUUACUAUGUACAAUGUUCUCCUGGUUCUGCUCACUUCAUUCAGCAUCAAUUCAUUGUACAGUGAAUGUACCACAUACCACAGGCACUAUGCUAAAUGCUGCAGCUGAAAACAAGACUGCUCUCAGAGAACUCGUGUUCUACAAGAGAAGAUAAAACUAGAAAGGGGUGCUGGAAAUGGGAUGUAGGUCGAUGGUAUAGAGAUGACUACAAAGUGGCAUGGAGAUCUGAAUGUAAACAAACUGAAAUACAAAUUCACUUAGCCUGGUGUUCCAGAGACCAAAAGUCAACUAAUUCUGACCUUCCAAUAUCAUUUACUUUUAUUAUCUACUUUAACUUAACUCUAUUGUGGUAGAACUGCCAGUAAGAUCUAUAGCUCAAAUAAAACAUGUAACUAAUA